RNAcentral lists this ribosomal RNA (253 nucleotides) under uncultured bacterium. RNAcentral describes it as "partial 16S ribosomal RNA". It matches the Rfam family "Bacterial small subunit ribosomal RNA", at positions 524 to 776 of the family's 1533-position model. The record is from RNAcentral.
UACAGAGGUCCCAAGCGUUGUUCGGAUUCACUGGGCGUAAAGGGUGCGUAGGCGGUUGGGUAAGUCUGACGUGAAAUCUCCGGGCCUAACCCGGAAACUGCGUUGGAUACUAUCCGGCUAGAGGAAUGGAGGGGAGACUGGAAUACUUGGUGUAGCAGUGAAAUGCGUAGAUAUCGGGAGGAACACCAGUGGCGAAGGCGGCCUUCUGGCUCGCAACUGACGCUGUAGCGCGAAAGCGUGGGGAGCGAACGGG